RNAcentral lists this ribosomal RNA (353 nucleotides) under uncultured bacterium. RNAcentral describes it as "bacterial SSU rRNA". It matches the Rfam family "Bacterial small subunit ribosomal RNA", at positions 8 to 350 of the family's 1533-position model. The record is from RNAcentral.
AGAGUUUGAUCAUGGCUCAGGAUGAACGCUAGCUACAGGCUUAACACAUGCAAGUCGAGGGGAAACGACAUCGAAAGCUUGCUUUUGAUGGGCGUCGACCGGCGCACGGGUGAGUAACGCGUAUCCAACCUGCCCAUCACUUGGGGAUAACCUUGCGAAAGUAAGACUAAUACCCAAUGACGUCUCUAGAAGACAUCUGAAAAGAGAUUAAAGAUUAUCGGUGAUGGAUGGGGAUGCGUCUGAUUAGCUUGUUGGCGGGUAACGGCCACGAAGGCGACGAUCAGUAGGGGUUCUGAGAGGAAGGUCCCCCANAUUGGAACUGAGACACGGUCCAAAACGUCCUACGGGAGGCA